GGUACUUGGAGAUAGGUUAUCCGUGUUGCCUUCGCUUUAUCUGUGACGAAUCAUACACGGUUCACCUAUUUUUCAGUACC
Molecule: non-coding RNA, 80 nt
Organism: Equus caballus (horse)
Lineage: Eukaryota; Metazoa; Chordata; Mammalia; Perissodactyla; Equidae
Source: Rfam